UGAGGGAUAUUGGUCAAUGGGCGCAAGCCUGAACCAGCGACGCCGCGUGGGUGAAGAAGGUCUUCGGAUCGUAAAGCCCUUUUCCCACUGAAGAGGACGGACGGUAGGUGGGGAAGAAGUCUCGGCUAACUACGUGCCAGCAGCCGCGGUAAAACGUAGGAGACAAGCGUUAUCCGGAGUUACUGGGCGUAAAGGGCGUGCAGGUGGCGUCUUAAGUCUGUUGUGAAAGCGCCUGGCUUAACCGGGCGAGGCCAAUGGAGACUGAGAGGCCGGAGGACGGCGGAGGGGUGUGGAAUUCCGGGUGUAGUGGUGAAAGGCGUAGAGAUCCGGAGGAACACCAGAGGCGAAGGCGGCACUCUAAGCCGUACCUGACACUGAGACGCGACAGCACGGGGAGCAAACG
RNAcentral lists this ribosomal RNA (403 nucleotides) under uncultured bacterium. RNAcentral describes it as "bacterial SSU rRNA". It matches the Rfam family "Bacterial small subunit ribosomal RNA", at positions 355 to 774 of the family's 1533-position model. The record is from RNAcentral.